AUGAACGCUGGCGGCGUGCCUAACACCUGCAAGUCGAGCGGCAGCGAGGGGUGCUUGCACCCUGUCGGCGAGCGGCGGACGGCUGAGUAACGCGUGGGAACGUGCCCCAAAGUGAGGAAUAACUGCCCGAAAGGGUAGCUAAUACCGCAUAUUAUCUUCGGAUCAAAGGAUUUAUCCGCUUUGGGAGCGGCUCGCGUCGGAUUAGGUAGUUGGUGAGGUAAUGGCUCACCAAGCCGGCGAUCCGUAGCUGGUCUGAGAGGAUGACCAGCCAGACUGGAACUGAGACACGGUCCAGACUCCUACGGGAGGCAGCAGUGAGGAAUCUUCCACAAUGGGCGAAAGCCUGAUGGAGCAACGCCGCGUGCAGGACGAAGGCCUUCGGGUUGUAAACUGCUUUUAUAAGUGAGGAAUAUGACGGUAACUUAUGAAUAAGGAUCGGCUAACUACGUG
Molecule: ribosomal RNA, 450 nt
Filed under: uncultured bacterium
Lineage: Bacteria
Description: partial 16S ribosomal RNA
Rfam family: Bacterial small subunit ribosomal RNA
Source: RNAcentral